This 265-nucleotide ribosomal RNA is filed under the name uncultured archaeon. RNAcentral's name for it is "partial 16S ribosomal RNA". It matches the Rfam family "Archaeal small subunit ribosomal RNA", at positions 717 to 982 of the family's 1478-position model. The record is from RNAcentral.
ACACGACUACAUUAGAUACCCGGGUAGUCCUAGGCGUAAAUGAUGCGAGUUAAGUGUGGGGGCAUCUACGAGAUGGCCCUGUGCUGUAGGGUAGCCGUUAAACUCGCUGCCUGGGGAGUACGGUCGCAAGGCUGAAACUUAAAGGAAUUGGCGGGGGAGCACCGCAACGGGAGGAGCGUGCGGUUCAAUUGGAUUCAACGCCGGACAACUCACCAGGAGCGACGGUUACAUGAAGGCCAGGCUGAUGACCUUGCCUGAUUUUCCG